CCUUCAAGAAGAAUGGAUGAAAAUUGGUUGGAGAGACCACUUUGUCACUGUGGGAUUCCAUCAAAACUAAGGACUUCUGCGAAAGAUACUAGUUUUGGUAGACGGUUUUUCAAUUGUCCAAAGUAUAAGAUGGACAAACAAUGCGAUUUUUUUCAAUGGCUUGAUUUUGAAAUGGAACAAAACAGUUGUUGCAAAAUGACAUUGGAGUUAACUCAAAGAAUGAAUGAGAGAAUCAAUCAAGAACGUAAGUUCGUUGAAGAAGCAAAAUUCAAAGUUAUGGAAAAGAAGUACAAGGACAUAUUAAAAGUUUUAUUCUUGU
Molecule: long non-coding RNA, 319 nt
Organism: Juglans microcarpa x Juglans regia
Lineage: Eukaryota; Viridiplantae; Streptophyta; Magnoliopsida; Fagales; Juglandaceae
Exons: 3
Source: RefSeq, a predicted model, not a curated record